ACAUACAUACAUACAUACAUCAGGACUCGAUUGCCCCACCCACUCACACCUUGUGGUCGGGAUAUUUAGUAACUACUAUGCAAUACCGGCGUCUUUUCGUUCAUAUUGUGAGGCAGCUCUAAAAGCAGAAAAAUCAGGCAGCACAGACACUGUUGUCCCCUCGGCUGAUAUAUAUAAGUUCAGGCACUGCAAGGCUUAUGUGGUCGAAGGGGAUGCAGCAAACAUGUGCUGCCAAGAUGUUAGGGAUGUCUACCCUACAUUCAUGGGCUCAAAUCUCUUCCUGGCUGACAUACCCGUGGCGUGGACAACAGAACAAAUUCAAAGCCUUGUGUACACCACAAAACAGCUGAAUACAAUACCCGAGAAAACUGUGAGCACAUUUAAUGUUGCAUUGAUUAGCACCAGUCUCUCAAAAAUUGAAGAACUGAAGAAUUGUUUGUUGAAGUGCUACGAACACGUCAGUGCAUGUGUGCUACUGGCAGACAGCGUGCACAGGUGGCUUAGAUUCCACUCAUCCACUGGGAUUUAUCCCAUCAAUUGGAUGUGUGGUAGUGGGACACUACUCACUCAGUGGAAAGCUGGAGGAGGACCACUUUAACUUCGUUGAGGAAGGGCGGUCCAAUUUCUUCCCCUGUAUUGAUCAAUCCACUGCUAAGAUUCCGAUUUGUGUGCUGACAGGCAUUAUAAAGAAGCUGUCUUUUGAAGGGAGCACUGUUAUUGAUGCCACAAGUGAAUCUGGUAACUGUGCAAUCGCCUCACUACAAGCAGGAAGAGAUGUGGUGGUACUCAAGGCAUUGGCCCAAGCAGCACUUGCAAGAAGCCAGCUUGCAGAACUGUCAACAACAUAGCUAGCUAUGGACUAGACUAUACUAUACUGUUUCAAGCGUUCCGUUAACUUCUAUGUUACUUUGUAUAU
Molecule: long non-coding RNA, 916 nt
Organism: Halichondria panicea
Lineage: Eukaryota; Metazoa; Porifera; Demospongiae; Suberitida; Halichondriidae
Exons: 4
Source: RefSeq, a predicted model, not a curated record